RNAcentral lists this ribosomal RNA (253 nucleotides) under uncultured bacterium. RNAcentral describes it as "partial 16S ribosomal RNA". It matches the Rfam family "Bacterial small subunit ribosomal RNA", at positions 524 to 776 of the family's 1533-position model. The record is from RNAcentral.
UACGAAGGGGGCUAGCGUUGUUCGGAUUUACUGGGCGUAAAGCGCACGUAGGCGGAUGGUUAAGUCAGGGGUGAAAUCCCAGAGCUCAACUCUGGAACUGCCUUUGAUACCGGCCAUCUUGAGUCCGGAAGAGGUGAGUGGAACUCCUAGUGUAGAGGUGGAAUUCGUAGAUAUUAGGAAGAACACCAGUGGCGAAGGCGGCUCACUGGUCCGGUACUGACGCUGAGGUGCGAAAGCGUGGGGAGCAAACAGG